UACGUAGGUGGCAAGCGUUGUCCGGAUUUAUUGGGCGUAAAGCGCGCGCAGGCGGUUUCUUAAGUCGGAUGUGAAAGCCCUCGGCUCAACUGAGGAAGUGCACCCGAAACUGGCGAGCUUGAGUACGAAAGAGGAUCGCGGAAUUCCCGGUGUAGAGGUGAAAUUCGUAGAUAUCGGGAGGAACACCGGGUGGCGAAGGCGGCGAUCUGGGUCGAUACUGACGCUGAGGUGCGAAAGCGUGGGGAGCAACAGG
Molecule: ribosomal RNA, 253 nt
Filed under: uncultured bacterium
Lineage: Bacteria
Description: partial 16S ribosomal RNA
Rfam family: Bacterial small subunit ribosomal RNA
Source: RNAcentral